GAGUUUGAUCUUGGCUCAGAUUGAACGCUGGCGGCAGGCCUAACACAUGCAAGUCGAGCGGUAGAGAGAAGCUUGCUUCUCUUGGAGAGCGGCGGACGGGUGAGUAAUGCCUAGGAAUCUGCCUGGUAGUGGGGGAUAACGCUCGGAAACGGCGCUAAUACCGCAUACGUCCUACGGGAGAAAGCAGGGGACCUUCGGGCCUUGCGCUAUCAGAUGAGCCUAGGUCGGAUUAGCUAGUUGGUGAGGUAAUGGCUCACCAAGGCGACGAUCCGUAACUGGUCUGAGAGGAUGAUCAGUCACACUGGAACUGAGACACGGUCCAGACUCUACGGAGGCAGCAGUGGGGAAUAUUGGACAAUGGGCGAAAGCCUGAUCCAGUCAUGCCGCGUGUGUG
RNAcentral lists this ribosomal RNA (394 nucleotides) under uncultured bacterium. Its description in RNAcentral is "bacterial SSU rRNA". It matches the Rfam family "Bacterial small subunit ribosomal RNA", at positions 9 to 407 of the family's 1533-position model. The record is from RNAcentral.